AACUUCGGUUAUAAGAUCCCUCAAAGAUGAUGAGGUUAAUAGGUUCGAGGUGGAAGCAUGGUGACAUGUGGAGCUGACGAAUACUAAUCGAUCGAAGACUUAAUCAA
RNAcentral lists this ribosomal RNA (107 nucleotides) under Staphylococcus aureus. RNAcentral's name for it is "partial 23S ribosomal RNA". It matches the Rfam family "Bacterial large subunit ribosomal RNA", at positions 2815 to 2925 of the family's 2925-position model. Lineage: Bacteria; Bacillati; Bacillota; Bacilli; Caryophanales; Staphylococcaceae. The record is from RNAcentral.